This 460-nucleotide ribosomal RNA is filed under the name uncultured bacterium. Its description in RNAcentral is "partial 16S ribosomal RNA". It matches the Rfam family "Bacterial small subunit ribosomal RNA", at positions 338 to 795 of the family's 1533-position model. The record is from RNAcentral.
CCUACGGGAGGCAGCAGUGAGGAAUAUUGGUCAAUGGGCGCGAGCCUGAACCAGCCAAGGAGCGUGAAGGAUGACUGCCCUACGGGUUGUAAACUUCUUUUAUAAAGGAAUAAAGUGAGGCACGUGUGCCUCUUUGUAUGUAUUUUAUGAAUAAGGAUCGGCUAACUCCGUGCCAGCAGCGGCGGUAAUACGGAGGAUCCGAGCGUUAUCCGGAUUUAUUUGGGUAAAAGUGAGCGUAGAUGGGUUGUUAAGUCAGUUGUGAAAGUUUGCGGCUCAACCGUAAAAUUGCAAUUGAUACUGGCAGCCUUGAGUACAGUUGAGGUAGGCGGAAUUCGUGGUGUAGCGGUGAAAUGCUGAGAUAUCACGAAGAACUCCGAUUGCGAAGGCAGCCUUCUAAACUGCCACUGACAUUGAUGCUCGAAAGUGUGGGUAUCAAACAGGAUUAGAUACCCUGGUAGUC